RNAcentral lists this transfer RNA (66 nucleotides) under Cavia porcellus (domestic guinea pig). It matches the Rfam family "tRNA". Rfam says of the family: Transfer RNA (tRNA) molecules are approximately 80 nucleotides in length. The record is from Rfam by way of RNAcentral. Lineage: Eukaryota; Metazoa; Chordata; Mammalia; Rodentia; Caviidae.
UUGUAGCUUAGCUGUAUAGUACUUGCCUGGCAAGAAUGAGGGCCUGGGUUCAAUUCCCAGUACAAA